Molecule: non-coding RNA, 266 nt
Filed under: Pediculus humanus corporis (human body louse)
Lineage: Eukaryota; Metazoa; Arthropoda; Insecta; Psocodea; Pediculidae
Source: RNAcentral
GAUGGGAGUAUACUUUUGUAAUCGAACUACUCGGAGGUUAGGUAUAGAGGAUGUUUUAGGGGAGGGAAUUCUGGGAUUGGAUUUCCCACGUUGACUAGGGUGAACCUUUGACUUUGUGGAUGCCUUGAGGAAGCCCGAGAUAGACAGGUUGAGUUCAAAAAGGGGAAAAAUCGGGACGAAAGUCACCGAGUUGAAAGUCGUGAGUUCAAAUCCUGGUAGUGGGAGUUCAAUUUCAGUUGGCCAAACAAGAACAGAUUUGUACCUUC